This 200-nucleotide ribosomal RNA is filed under the name uncultured bacterium. Its description in RNAcentral is "partial 16S ribosomal RNA". It matches the Rfam family "Bacterial small subunit ribosomal RNA", at positions 28 to 211 of the family's 1533-position model. The record is from RNAcentral.
GACGAACGCUGGCGGCGUGCUUAACACAUGCAAGUCGAACGAAGAGCGAUGGAAUCUUGCUUCUAUCAAUCUUAGUGGCGAACGGGUGAGUAACGCGUAAUCAACCUGCCCUUCAGAGGGGGACAACAGUUGGAAACGACUGCUAAUACCGCAUACGAUAUAACCUUGGCAUCGAGGAUGGAUGAAAGGUGGCCUCUAUU